UGGGGAAUAUUGCACAAUGGGCGCAAGCCUGAUGCAGCCAUGCCGCGUGUGUGAAGAAGGCCUUCGGGUUGUAAAGCACUUUCAGCGAGGAGGAAGGUGGUGAACUUAAUACGUUCAUCAAUUGACGUUACUCGCAGAAGAAGCACCGGCUAACUCCGUGCCAGCAGCCGCGGUAAUACGGAGGGUGCAAGCGUUAAUCGGAAUUACUGGGCGUAAAGCGCACGCAGGCGGUUUGUUAAGUCAGAUGUGAAAUCCCCGGGCUCAACCUGGGAACUGCAUUUGAAACUGGCAAGCUAGAGUCUCGUAGAGGGGGGUAGAAUUCCAGGUGGUAGCGGUGAAAUGCGUAGAGAUCUGGAGGAAUACCGGUGGCGAAGGCGGCCCCCUGGACGAAGACUGA
This 397-nucleotide ribosomal RNA is filed under the name uncultured bacterium. Its description in RNAcentral is "partial 16S ribosomal RNA". It matches the Rfam family "Bacterial small subunit ribosomal RNA", at positions 355 to 743 of the family's 1533-position model. The record is from RNAcentral.